CCAGAAAGCAGGUCUGCCCCUUUAAGGCCAGAACUUUCUGGGCACAGAGUGCUGGUAAGGAAAGGGCUAAAUGCCGAACUUGGCCAGCUAGUCAGCUGACCAGAAGGGGAAGGACUAUAAAAACUGUGGGCAGAGUGGUAGUAAGGGGGACAGCAGCCGAAGGGGAAGGAGGGCCUCCAAGAGCUCCACAGAGAAGCUGGGUGAGCGGUCCAAAGGCGGGAACUACAGAAGCUGUGGAGAGAUGGCAGCUGCACCACAGCAAGGACUGUAGCCAAAGGUAGGGAGCUGAAGAACGAACCCUGCAAAAGUAAGCUGACCUGCUGCUUUGCUUGAUUAUAUUGGUCGGUGGCAGUUAUUUUAUUUUAUUUUUUUUGAUUAUUGACUAAUACCGGGGGCUUGGGUGAGGCUAUUAGGGGAUGGAGGAGGCCUCAUAGGGGACCCACAGCAGUGUGGGGACCCCAGGACCAGAGAGGGCACAGCAUUUGGGGGUGCACUGACCCCAGCUCCAGAGAGGGCGCAGCACUUUGCAGGGCUGUGGACAGCCCAGGUGCCAGUGAGGCGCAGAGUAAGACAGGGCUGCAGAGACCCCAAGCAUCAGUGAGACACAGUGCGAGACAGGGCCACAGAUGAGGCAGGGCCACAGAGAGCCCAAGCACCAGUGAGGCGCAGUGCGAAGCAGGGCCGCAGAGAGCCUGAGGAUGACCAGGGGGCCAAAUUGUAACAAGGCCUGACACUGGAAAAGGCUAGAGCCUCGGAGUCAAACCCUGUUUGGUGGGUUUUGGAUGGAGAGGCCUAGCUAGAGAAAGACAGGGGUCAGGCCUGUGUAGGCGAAAGACCCCAACAUACAAAAUAUAAUCUCCUGCUCACAAGAACAUCAACAAUAAUUUCCAUCAAGACAUGGCAGACAAGUAGAGGGCGGGACCGAAGAACUCCAAAGACUCCAAGGUCGCCCCACGUAAGGACAGCCGUACAAAAAGCCCUGCUUGAAUAUGAUGAUGCUUAAUAAACUUGGGACUAAACAGAAGGAAAAAAAAAUGGAAUUGCUUCUACUUGGCUAGCCAUCUUCUCUACAUUAACUGUGACAUCAGUUUCCAGCAAGACCUGAGGCAAAGCAGGAACACCGGGAGGAACCUGCGCGAGCCAUUAGCUACGCUUUCAUUCAGUUGCGGCCGGCUGGUGAUGUCAGCAGCAAUUGCUGGCUGGCAGGGAUAAAAAGGACAGCCCACAGAGAGGCGGGGGAUUGGACACCGGGAGGAAUCCCAGCCGAGGGAGUCAGCUGGAAGUCCGGAGUGGAGCGGAGCCUCAUGCGAUGAGGGAGAAGCCGUUGGCAGCGGUAAAGACAAGCUUGCACUCGGGGCAGGAACUCCACUUCAGGGAAAGCCGGGUGAGGACAACAGAAGCUGGAGAAACCCCAAGCCUAGCGGCCUCCACAGAGAAGGGGGAGGUACUGGCCCUCCCUACAGCUUCCAAACAGGUGGGAUGGUGGAGGGACCCAGGGGACCUGAGGAGAUGCCCCAGAGAGAGGGGCAGUAUUGGAAGACCCCAAGAGAGGGCAGCCUUACUACGAAGCCCCAGAGAGAGGGCGGCAUAAUUGUGAAGCCCCAGAGAGAGGGCAGUAUCACUGAGGAGCCCCAGGGAAGGAGAGAAGCACUAUUGUGAAAGCCCAGAGAGAGGGAGAUGAUACCGAAAGGCCCAGAGAGAGGGCGACGGCAGUGUGAAGGCACGGAGAGAGGGCAACGAUACCGGAAGGCCCAGGAAGAGGGUGACAACAUUGUAAAGGCCCAGAGAGAGGGCAACGAUAGCUAGGGCUGUGGGGACCAAGCCGGGGGACGGGGGGGGCUAGGUGAACAAGAAAGGGCCCUAGCGGUCAGAUAGGAGCACAGGGUGUAUCUUGGGCGCAUGCAGCGUGCACGGUGUUGGUGGUGGUUUUCUUGCAUUUUUCUUUUGCUAUAGAGCAUUUUGUGUUUCCCCAUGCCGGAAGGGGUUGAGGCGGAGGAAGCGAGAACAGAGUGAGGAGCUGUACACUUAUGGAUUGAAAGAUACUCGUGGUGCACAAGAUUGGCCGUAGGAUAAACAGUGACCUGCCAGGCUGGGAAUAGGGCAAGGUAGAGGGGAGGUCGAGCCUCGUGGAAGACUGCUGAAAGAACGAGUGGCCAGCGAGGGAAAUCGUGCAGUACUGAGCCCCCCCACUGAAGAAGAUUCAAAGUCGUGGCAGGCGAGAAAGGGGUGGUCUGCGUCGGGUGUAAAGACCUCCUCGAAAGACCAUCUGCAACAGCAGGGCGGAUUCCGGUGGGCACCUGAACCAAAGAGGCACGGAGCAAGAUGUUCGAGGCCAGGCUCUCAAGGAAGCACUAGCAUUUCUCAAGUACUGUCACCUGCCUCUGACCUAUUUGACACACUUCACUAAGAUUUUGCUGAGCUGAUUGACUUCAUAGAGGCAGAAGAAGCCCUGAAGGAGAAAACCUGUAACAGCUGCUAUGGAAACGAUGGAUGCCUUAUACCUCAUGAAGGUGGAGCAACUAUUUUUUGAAAAGGUUUAAUGCCUUCAUAGUUUACAGUUUCCUAGGGAGAAAACCCUUGGAGUAGUGAUGUGCCUCGUCUUUUGUCCUAUGACAUUCUAAUUAACAGUCACAUAACUAAUGGAAGGUUGAGAUGGGCCCCAGUCAUGAACGACGCGUGCCCCCGGCAGCUUGCGGGGCACGGUAGGAGUGCGGCGGUGACAGUGGGAGUGCAGCGGCGGUAAGCGGUGGAGCUCCUGCAAAUGCCACCAGCACUGACUAAUUUUAUUUGAUGUUAAAUAAACAAUGUUGGCGGCACCUUUUUGUAGAUGGUGCACUGCCAUUCUCAGGGGGUGCACGUGCAUCCACAUGCACCCACUAUGUGUCACCCCUGGACCCAGCCCUGGAUGCUGACUUGGAUGGGGUAGGUGCCCCAGCACUGUCACUACUUAGGCACAAAACUAUCUGGUUACACCUGUGCUAGCUUGGUUUAAAAGCAUAAACACGUUAUAAAUCACUAUUUCCGUUCUCUUUCUUUUGUUUUGCUGAGUAAAGUUGAAAGCCUGAUAAAAUUCUAACUGAACACAAAUGUUAUAUGAAGGCUGGCUCCUGCUGCAACCGAAAAAGGAGCAGCAGCAGAGCAUCCUGCACUGGGAACCAGAGGAAGAGAGAAGUAUUUAUCUGUGUUUAUCUGAAGUCAAGCAGAAGGCAGGGUAGAUUUGAACCUUAUAGAUUAACUAAAUUUGUGAGCUGGAGUUCACUUCAUCAGAUGCUGUGAAAGGACAUGGACAGACCAGUGUAUAAAAUGGAGAAAUGAUUUUGGAGGAGACAGAAGAGAGAGAACCUUUCUGUUUUUGCAGACCCAGCUCCCUGCCUCAGUGACCUGUCACCUGAUUCUGGACAAAAAUCUUUUUUUUGUUAUGAGAUAUGGAGAAUAAAGGAGAUGUCUGUGGCAUUUUAUUCUGAA
Molecule: long non-coding RNA, 3465 nt
Organism: Alligator mississippiensis (American alligator)
Lineage: Eukaryota; Metazoa; Chordata; Crocodylia; Alligatoridae
Exons: 5
Source: RefSeq, a predicted model, not a curated record